GAUGAAGAACGCAGCGAAAUGCGAUAAGUAAUGUGAAUUGCAGAAUUCAGUGAAUCAUCGAAUCUUUGAACGCACCUUGCGCUCUUUGGUAUUCCGAAGAGCAUGCCUGUUUGAGUGUCAUGAAAAUAUCAACCUUGACUUGGGUUUUGUGCUCUAGUCUCGGCUUGGAAUUGGGUGCUUGCCGCUUUUACGAGCGGCUCACCUUAAAUGUAUUAGCUGGAUCUGUCUUUGAGACUUGGUUUGACUUGGCGUAAUAAGUAUUUCGCUAAGGACAUUCUUCGGAGUGGCCUCGUUUCUAGGACGCUUGUCCGCCUUCCAAUACAAGUUCCACCUCGUGGACAUGACUUUUUAUUAUCUGGCCUCAAAUCAGGUAGGACUACCCGCUGAACUUAAGCAUAUCAAUAAGCGGAGGA
This 413-nucleotide unclassified non-coding RNA is filed under the name soil metagenome. Its description in RNAcentral is "partial contains 5.8S ribosomal RNA, internal transcribed spacer 2, and large subunit ribosomal RNA". The stretch from base 1 to 120 matches the Rfam family "5.8S ribosomal RNA", at positions 35 to 154 of the family's 154-position model. The record is from RNAcentral.